GAGUUUGAUCCUGGCUCAGGACGAACGCUGGCGGCGCGCCUAACACAUGCAAGUCGAACGGGACUAUGCAAGAUGAAGUUUUCGGAUGGAAUUUUGUAUAGUUUAGUGGCGGACGGGUGAGUAACACGUGAGCAACCUGCCUUCGAGAGGGGAAUAACGGCUGGAAACGGUCGCUAAUACCGCAUAACAUACAGGAGGGACAUCCCUUUUGUAUCAAAGAUUUAUCGCUCGAAGAUGGGCUCGCGUCCGAUUAGGUAGUUGGUGAGGUAAUGGCCCACCAAGCCGACGAUCGGUAGCCGGACUGAGAGGUUGAACGGCCACAUUGGGACUGAGACACGGCCCAGACUCCUACGGGAGGCAGCAGUGGGGGAUAUUGCACAAUGGGGGAAACCCUGAUGCAGCGACGCCGCGUGUAGGAAGACGGUCCUCUGGAUUGUAAACUACUGUCCCCAGGGACGAAGAUGACGGUACCUGGGGAGGAAGCUCCGGCUAACUACGUGCCAGCAGCCGCGGUAAUACGUAGGGAGCGAGCGUUGUCCGGAAUUACUGGGUGUAAAGGGAGAGUAGGCGGGGAUGCAAGUUGGGUGUUAAAUCUACCGGCUC
Molecule: ribosomal RNA, 603 nt
Filed under: uncultured bacterium
Lineage: Bacteria
Description: bacterial SSU rRNA
Rfam family: Bacterial small subunit ribosomal RNA
Source: RNAcentral